Molecule: ribosomal RNA, 118 nt
Filed under: uncultured bacterium
Lineage: Bacteria
Description: partial 16S ribosomal RNA
Rfam family: Bacterial small subunit ribosomal RNA
Source: RNAcentral
AAUACGUUCCCGGGCCUUGUACACACCGCCCGUCACACCACGAAAGUUGGUAACACCCGAAGCCGGUGGCCCAACCCUUUGGGGGGAGCCGUCGAAGGUGGGAUCAGCGAUUGGGGUG